GCAAGUCGAACGGCAGCACGGACUUCGGUCUGGUGGCGAGUGGCGAACGGGUGAGUAACAUAUCGGAACGUGCCCUGGAGUGGGGGAUAACUAGUCGAAAGAUUAGCUAAUACCGCAUACGAUCUACGGAUGAAAGUGGGGGAUCGCAAGACCUCAUGCUCGUGGAGCGGCCGAUAUCUGAUUAGCUAGUUGGUGGGGUAAAGGCCUACCAAGGCAUCGAUCAGUAGCUGGUCUGAGAGGACGACC
Molecule: ribosomal RNA, 246 nt
Filed under: uncultured bacterium
Lineage: Bacteria
Description: partial 16S ribosomal RNA
Rfam family: Bacterial small subunit ribosomal RNA
Source: RNAcentral